This is a long non-coding RNA of Passer domesticus (house sparrow), 4524 nucleotides long. RefSeq lists it as uncharacterized. Lineage: Eukaryota; Metazoa; Chordata; Aves; Passeriformes; Passeridae. The transcript is spliced from 6 exons. The record is from RefSeq and is a predicted model, not a curated record.
AUGAGGGAAGAGUGCAGAACUGAUAAAAAAAGGACUGAUUUUGUAUUUUUAAAAACAAUCUGGGUUUGGCAAUCAUCCACCAUGCUCUAGAAAACCAAGAUGUAUUCAUGAAUCUUCCUAUUGUAUUUUGUGGCUUUUUAUUUACAGGAUAGAACUAUAAAUGAAAAAUUAUGUUAACUGCUUUUGUAAUGCAAAAAACAGGAACAGCUUUUUCCUCCCAUCUUGCUUGCAGAAUCAGAGCCAGUUCAAAAAUAUCUCUCUCUUGUGUCCUAAGUUCUCUAUGUGGAGUGGACCUACUGACAUCCUUAGUCACUGAACACCAGAAAUCCUCUCUGGCUUCCUUGAAAUUCUGAAGUGACUACUGUUUUAAACAGAAAGAUCCAUUAAAAUGAAAAGGUUGACAUGUUUCUCCAUGAUUCAUGCUAGAAUAGAUCUCACACCCUUGAAGUCAUAGGAAACCCAUUCAGUCCAAUUGGUGCAGGGUCAAACACUUAAUCCUACUGUUACAGAAAAAGGGUAUCAUCAUCUCCCAUGCUGUUGAAAGGCUUUCAGAUGAAAGACUUUAUGUAGUCAAAAAGCAGUAGUAACAGGUACCAGUGCGAUGUCAGAAAUGGAACUUAAGCCUGGAAGUAGUAGAAACAUCAGCAGAAGGUAGAAUGAUUGUGCCAUCCAGACUAGAGUCCAGGAUGAUUGAACAGUGUAAGGAGGAGAUGGCAGAACAUGGGUGUCAGAAGUUGGCCUCACAGCAAUGAUGAGUAAGAAGGUCCCUUCAGAUCUGUCAACAUCAGGGGAUGCUUGCAGGAUACAGCAGCUCUUCCUUACUGUGGCGUGGGCUCCACAGAACAUCAAGCUGAGCUCAUGGGUCAGGCCAGGUGGGCUGUAGCCAUGCUGGACUUUGUCCAUCUACACAGUACCUACACAUCAGUACACCCAGAUGAGUGGGCAAUUGUAGCUGGACUAACACCACCAGAAUAAUUCUUACAUCUGCUUUCCAUCUGUCAUGUCCUCCUCAGCAUUCUUAAACUCCUUCCUAUGGAACAAUAAGCACGUCCAAAACAACUAAUUCAACUUGCUGCCUACUGUCUGUGCAAUCCCUAUAGGGCUUCUUUCCUCAGGGCAGACAGGGUCCUACAAGCAGCCACAGUCACUGAAAGGAGUGACACUAAUGAUCUCAGGAACCUUUGUUAGGGACAAGUCAUAACAAUUGGUAACUGUCAAAUCUUCUCUUCUCCCUGCCUAAAUCAAACAUUAGAAAAUUGUCAAAUGUUUUUUCUUCAGGCUAUACAUUUUUUAUCAAUGUCAAUAAUUAAAUUUAAAAAAUAGAAUUCUCUAUUUUUUUCUCUGAAAUUAGAAAUGACCAUAAAAAGAGGCUAUAUAUAUUUUUGUCAUUAAGUUCUCGACCAGGAGAUAUAUUUUAUUUGGAAAAAAAAAAUCCCUAAAUCCAUCAAAGUUAAAAAGAAAAAUACUUCUGAAAAAGAUCACAAAUCAAAACAUCACAUGAAAUAAGCAGAUAACUAGGCACAAAAAAAGGAAAAAAAGAGAAAAACUGGCAUCCAGACAGACAGAUAUUCCAUGCAAAAGAAGUGCUAGUUAAUGUCUUUUAGCAAAUCUGAUUCUAUUUUCAUCCCCAAAAUAUCCCUUCUCCAGAGAAUAUAUAAGAGAGAGCAAAGAAAGUUUUGGACUUUCAUAGUAUUUGUUCUUAUGAGGGAAAGAAAAAAAAGGUUAAAUUUAUUCUCUUUGGAAAAGGGAAGACUUUGAGGUGACCUACUUAGCUUCUGUGGUCUUUGUUACUUGGCAACAUAUGAAAUAGGAUGGCAAACAGAAUAAAUGUGUUUAAGAGCCAGAAAAGACACUUUUAUAGACAAAGGGGUUAAAUGAUAUAGUUACAAAGCAGAGAGGUGAGGUUAAAAUAAAUCUAAAGGAUGCAAUCUUACCAAGGCAUGUGGCCUUUUCCUGACCAACAAUCUUUUAUGUCCUUGUGAUAGGUUUAUUAAUCGAAAUAAAAUACAAAGUUUUACGUGUGCUGGCUCCAGUGCAGUAAGUAAAAUGGUAGGUAUAAGAAUGAAAAAUAAGAAUUUUAUGAAGCAUUUUUCUCAUUAAUGCCUACAUUUUGUUUUCAGAAGUAACCACAUUCUGUCUACUGAUAAGAGGUGGUAAGGGAGACAGCUUUAAAUCUAUUAAGGCUGACAGGUAUAUGGUUAUUUGAAAUACUGCCUUUUCCCCAUCCCAGUUCUCUCUUGUCCGCAAAUGUCACUAUUCUAAUCAAGCUACUGCUCUUCAGUAACUGCUAAUGUCAUCUAGACACAGAAUCAUGCUUUGGACCUUUAAAAUAUCUCAAAAAUGUGUUAAAAGGCUUAUUCAUUGUGUGAAAAAAAAACAAAGAAAAUUAAAGGGAUUAAACAACAACAAAGAUUUUUAAGGUGGAAGACCAGAAGUAGCUACUCCAAUCCUGCUUGACAUCUAUCUUCUACAUUUUGGUGUGAUUUACAGUACUUAAUUCUGUUAAUUUCCAUCUCUGAUUACUCUGCAAAGCAUCACUUCAGAAGACUAAGCUCAAGAUCAACCUUAGUGCAUUGCAUGAAAAUAGUUAUUUUAAAACAUUUCUAGUGUGAGGGUUGAGGUUAGAAGAAAGGAGUUAAUUCUGGAGGCAAGAUCUGGUAGUGACUGUGGACAAUUCCAUAAAAAUGGAUUCCUGGUUACAGGAACCAGGAAGAUGCUGCCCUUGGCAAGGUCAGGAGGGCUUUUGGACACUUUCUUGGGGAAUUUACAGCAGAAGGUGACAUCACAGAGCAGAUGGUGCAACCCAGAAAGUCAUGGUUGUUUCCUGCAAUUUAGGCACCUCUGACAAGUGUUUGGCUUCUGGCCAACCUGCCUCAUUUCCUCAUACCUGCUCCGAAAAUAAUUACCCUGCGCCCCCACUGGUACUGGCACUGGGGAAGGCAGGAAGGGUGAGGGCAAGAUCCAUAUCAAUAGGAUAUGGAUCAAUAGGCUCCUCAUGAGUUUGGAAGGUCCAGACUCAGGAGAAUGGGAAAGCUUGUGACUAGGUGAAGUUGCUCUCUGUAUGUACAUAAAAGUAUAUAUAUGUAUGCAUGUAUAUGCAGUAUAUUUUGCAUUUCUCAUAACCAGUGAAAUGAUGUCUUUUUACCUGCAAGGAAGCUUCACUCGGUCAUAAUCUAAAACAAGUGUAACUAGAUUUCAGCAAAAGAUAUUCUUAUAUUGUAACUUCCUAAUAGAAGGAGAGAUAAUUGAAACUACAGUUCAUUGAAAGCACUCAGGAUUUUAGGUGAAAUUUGAUCAAAUUAAGCAAAUUAAAAGCCAUCACAACAUUUAAAUUUAGCAGAAAAUUACAUAAAAAAUUACAGUUAUACGAUUUGUUAAGUUCUAACUAAUUUACAAGUAUCUGUUGAGGUGAGUAGUUUCCUUGGAAAAAUACUGCUAGAGAAUAUGAAACAACAUGGAGAGAUGCUACAUCAUUGCUAUAAAAAUGCCAGCAGAAAAAGUAAAUAAUCAAAUUUUAUAAAUCACCCCCUUUUACCUGCAAAUCAUACCAGACUGGCCUGUGAUUUUUUUUGCCUCUUUGAAGUAGAAUGUCAUAAAAGGAAAUGUAGUCAGGUGUAUGCAAUAAUCUGUUAUCCUGUCUCCAGGGAACAGAGAAGCAGGAAAUCUCAAUCCAAAAGACGAGAGAAAUAAUGAAGCUCAAUGCUUGUUUGUUUUCAAACAAACAAAUAAGGAAGCAAACAGGCUCUACACAACUUGGAGAUAAAUGCUAAUCUCAAUUGUUUUAACUUUGAUUAUACAAUAGUCAACUUUUUGAAAAUUGAACUAUUGUUCUGCUCCAAUUUCAAAACUCAAAUAGAAACAUAUUUUGCUUACAAUGAACUUUAAUUGCCUGAAUUUUUCAAAGGACCCUUGAGUCACCUAGAUAAUAGGGGUUUAGAUCUACUCAGCAAAUGUAAGCAGAAAAUGCACAUCCAUAGGGCAUCAUAAUGCGGUUGUUUCUGGCUCGGGCAAUAGCAAUAUUCUAAAUAUGUAAGUUUUUAUUCCAUAAGGGACUUGACUUUAAUCUCUUCAUGGAAAUAAGAGAGAUUAGAUGCUCAGAUGAAGAAGAUUGUCACAGUUUCGGGGCUUUCAAUGAAUGCAGUGUACAUUAGCUAAGAACCUUUAUAGCAACAAUCUAUGUUUCAAGGAAAUUUCCUUUCUCCAUCAAAGUCCAUCUAAAUGGUUGAUUACUUUUGCAAUAUGGUAACUAUGUACACUUACAAUCAAUUGCUUUAAGUGCAAAUUUUAUGUUGCAUGUUGUAGUUUUUUCUUCUGUAAUUCAUUUUUAGCACACCAUUUGUGAUAAAUAUAUUGACAUUUAUCCAUUGAAGGAGAGAUUGUGUUUGAACCUCAAGUAUGAUGAUAUUUAUGAUAAAAAUGUAAAAAUAACAAAAUGCUGAGAUGGAUCUUAGGUCCCCUGAAGGGUGAUUUUGUAGACUCUUAGCAGAAAACUAUCAAUACAGUUAUGAAUUGAUACAGCUAUGC